Molecule: ribosomal RNA, 1953 nt
Filed under: Triticum aestivum (bread wheat)
Lineage: Eukaryota; Viridiplantae; Streptophyta; Magnoliopsida; Poales; Poaceae
Description: partial small subunit ribosomal RNA
Source: RNAcentral
AUGCCCACGUACCUCCUCCUCCUCUUCUUCCUCGCUUUGUGGUUGUGGCCACCGGCGGCGAGCGUUGACGCCGCCUCCGCCACGGUGAGCCCGCUGCAGACAAUCACCAAAUUUACCGCUGACACCUACACGGCAAACAGCAGUUAUGGGUCCAACCUUCGAGCUCUCGGAGCCACCCUCGCCGCGGCCGCCGGCGCGUCGGGCUUUGCACAGGGAAGCUACGGCGAGGCGCCUGACAAGGUCUACGGCUUCGUGCUCUGCCGGGGUGACUACACCGGCGCCAACUGCGCCGACGGCCUCAGAGCCGCCUUCCAGGGCGUGCCCGAGCGCGUCUUCUUCCGGAAGGCCGCCGUCGUCUACUAUGACCAGUACAUGCUCCGGUUCACCGACGACGAGCGGUCCUUCUCGAACACCAGCAACGAGCCGGAAUGGUCCGCGAACAAUAUGAACUCUGUCAGCGGCUCCGAGGCAGCGGCGCGGCUGAUGGAGACGGUGGUGAAGCUGAUGAACGACCUGGCUGACCUGGCCACCUCGGGCAGCCCCAGGAGGACUAGCCCGUACGCGACCGGCGAGGCGGGGUUCGGCGAGCAGGGCGUGAGCACCGUGUACGGCCUGGUGCAGUGCAGGCCGGACCUCACCGGGUCACAGUGCAGGAGCUGCCUUGAUGGCAUUAUCAAGCUGUUGCCGACGCUGUUUAUGAGCAAUAAUAAGAGCAACCAAGAGGCCUCUUUAAGCCGCGUCGGGGGCAGGAUUUUGGGGGUUCGGUGUAAUCUGCGAUACGAGAAGGACUUAUUCUUCGAGGAGACAAGUGACACUAUCAAGAUCGACAUGCCUAAAAAUGGGAAGAGCGCUGUGUUUAUGAUCGUCAUAGUUGGAGUUCCUCUCCUAGUUUUGCUCAUCCUCGGCUUACUGCUAAGGCCAUACAUCGUGAAGAAAGUCAGAGAAUCGUUAUUGCAGACGGAAUUAGACACCCUGAAAAAGGAAAUAGUAAAUGAAAGCGACUCAAGGUUUUCGUUGUUCAGAUUCUUGAAAAUAAGGAGUGCUACUAAUAACUUCUCGGAUAAAAAUAAACUUGGAGAAGGUGGAUUUGGCAUUGUUUACAAGGGCCAUUUGUGUCACGAUCAAGACAUAGCAGUCAAACGGCUUUCUCCAAAUUCAGUGCAGGGGUUCCGCGAGUUCAUGAAUGAAAUCAAACUUAUAGCUAGCCUACAACAUAAGAAUCUUGUCAGGCUUCUUGGAUGUUGUAUCAAAAGCAAAGAGAGGAUACUUGUGUAUGAAUAUAUGCCAAACGGUAGCUUGGAAGAGUUCAUUUUUGGGGUAAGAGCAAAGAAGAGUUGGCCCGUACGUCGUGGCAUAAUCGAAGGGAUAUCAGAAGGCCUUCUCUAUCUGCAUGACUAUGCGCAUGAAUGCAUAGUCCACAGAGACAUGAAACCAAGCAACAUCCUAUUAGAUCAUGAAAUGAACCCAAAAAUUUCUGACUUUGGGAUUGCAAGGAUAUGCCUCUCCAGCGUGACAGAAUCAAAUACGACAACGGCUAUGGGAACAUUUGGAUACAUCGCACCGGAGUACUACUCCCAGAAUGUCUACUCAACAAGGUCUGAUGUUUUCAGCUUCGGCAUCCUAGUUCUCGAGAUCAUAAGUGGGAAGAGCGCCGUCGGUUCGUACGAAUUAUCCGGAAGAUCAUAUGAGCUCAGGAAAUAUGCCUGGCAGCUGUGGAGAGAGCAGAGGUGCGACGAGCUGGUGGAUGAUUCGCUUGGCGAGGAGUACCCGGAGAUGGACGUUAUGAGGUGCAUCCAGAUCGCGCUUCUAUGCGUCCAGGAUAGCGCGGAGGACAGGCCUACCAUGCGCGACGUGACGAUCAUGUUGAGCAAUGGAAACAAGAGGCUGCUCCUACCUGUGCAGCCCGGUUCUUGCAGCGUACACAUCGACGUCGGUACUGAAAUAGAGUUGUGA